Gorilla gorilla gorilla (western lowland gorilla) is the source of this 74-nucleotide transfer RNA. It matches the Rfam family "tRNA". From Rfam's summary of the family: Transfer RNA (tRNA) molecules are approximately 80 nucleotides in length. Their secondary structure includes four short double-helical elements and three loops (D, anti-codon, and T loops). The record is from Rfam. NCBI's taxonomy places the organism in Eukaryota, Metazoa, Chordata, Mammalia, Primates, Hominidae.
AGCACCAUGGCUUAGUUGGUUAAAGCACCUGUCUAGUAAACAGGAGAUCCUGAGUUUCAAUCCCAAUGGUGCCU